AUGCCUCAAUCAUCUGAGAACAGCUCAGACAAGAAAAUCUCGGUCAAAAAAAGGCCGGUAAAGCCUUCAAGAAGGCUCCUUGGAGAAAUCAUGAUUCCUACAUUUGUCCCAGGAGAUUUCAAAUUUAUGAACAAACCCAGAGCACUCCAUGAAUACCUAUUCAUCAAAGAAGGACAGGACGAAUGCGGAGAUCUAAAUGUAUAUAUUAGCUUGAUGCGACCCGAUUGGAUUAGAGGAAAACAAGCAAUGCAACAGCUACGGAAAGGAGAUCAUGGACAGAUGGAGGGCUCCAUCGCAAACGCAUUGUUCGACGAAUGGACAGUGCAGCAACAAUAA
RNAcentral lists this ribosomal RNA (336 nucleotides) under Triticum aestivum (bread wheat). RNAcentral's name for it is "partial small subunit ribosomal RNA". Lineage: Eukaryota; Viridiplantae; Streptophyta; Magnoliopsida; Poales; Poaceae. The record is from RNAcentral.